Zea mays is the source of this 742-nucleotide long non-coding RNA. RefSeq lists it as uncharacterized. The record is from RefSeq and is a predicted model, not a curated record. Lineage: Eukaryota; Viridiplantae; Streptophyta; Magnoliopsida; Poales; Poaceae. The transcript is spliced from 4 exons.
CUAAAGCUGCUGAGCUUCCUUUUAUUGCUACUUCUGUAGACUUUCGACGGCAAGGAAUGUGCCGAAUUCUAAUGAGCAUCAUUGAAAAGAUGCUCUGUUCAUUUAAUGUUAAGAUGUUGGUCCUUUCUGCCAUCCCAGAGUUGGUUAGCACAUGGGUGUCAGGAUUUGGCUUCAAACCUAUCGAAGAUGCUGAAAGGAAACAACUUCAUAAUGUAAACUUGAUGUUGUUUCCUGGAACAUCCUUACUAACAAAGAGAUUGGAUGGAUUUAUUAUGGCCACAAAACCAGGUUCACUACCUGUUUGCUUACCACUAGCCACAUUUGUGCCUUGUGGUUUAUAGAUUUGGGCAUACCAUGACAUCCUUCCAUUUGUUUGCAUGCCCAUAAUUCUACUAAUUUUGAAACUAUGCAGGCGCGGAAAAGGAUAUACAUGAAGUUUCUGGAGUACCUAAUCUUAAGCGUAUGCCUAAUGGGAAAGCAAGUGAGCAUUUCAAACUCCAUGACCUUGAUUUGUCCGGGACAGAGUUUAAAGCUGAGGUUUCCGUGAAUGGUCCAUUCAGAACACUGAAACAUGAAUGUGGUUCAGCAGCAUGGUUUCAGUCUACUAAGUUAGCUGUUGGGGAAGUGUGAUAUUCUUACACAAAUUAUCUGGGCUCAUGGCUCAAAUUAAUUUGCAGCAGCAAAAUCAUUCGAACACUUGCUGCUGCAUGCACUCAUCCUUUUCAAGUAAAGUUCUCACAAG